Molecule: small RNA, 254 nt
Filed under: Staphylococcus aureus
Lineage: Bacteria; Bacillati; Bacillota; Bacilli; Caryophanales; Staphylococcaceae
Rfam family: S. aureus tsr24 small RNA
Source: RNAcentral
AGUAAAAUUACAUGUUAAUACGUAGUAUUAAUGGCGAGACUCCUGAGGGAGCAGUGCCAGUCGAAGACAGGGGCCCCAACACAGAAGCUGACAUAUAGUCAGCUUACAACAAUGUGCCGGUUGGGGUAGCUGAGACGGCACCCUAGGAAGGGACCCAUCAUCAAAAAUUCUAUUUAUAGAAUUUUACAGUAAUGUGCCAGAUGGGCAAAGCGAAGCCAUUCAAUACGAAGUAUUGUAUAAAUAGAGAACAGCAG